CAUAGUGACCCCAUAUCUCCAGAAGUUUCCAUAUUUGUAAGGUUACUUAUCAUACUAAUAAUAUAAUUCUCAUGGUUAUGCAAUGCCAUUUAACGUAUGGGAGCCAUAAUUACUAGAAACAUCCGAGAAUAUGCACUUCACUUCAAGGAUUAACACCAUGCAAACUGCACAGAUCCGUGAGCACUGCACCUCAAGGCCAGCUGGGAUCACUCUUUCAACUGUUGUACUGGGACUUGCUGCACAACUCCAUCAUGUCUCUCAGGCUCCUGCCCGCUAUCAUUAUGGACAAUGAUGAGGAUGAUGAUGGCAACUUCACAAAAUGGAUGAGCAGUUACUGGGGUCAUGGAGCAGAUCCUGGGAACUCUAGAGACAGAAAACGCAGUUUCAGAAGACCUACAAAAGCACAUGUUGAUCGAAGAGCAUCGCUCCCGACUGUGACACAGUUAAAUGUCAUGAAGCUGAACAGGCUGCAUACUGCCACCAUGGCGGCAACCCCCAGCCACAUUAAAACAAGAGAGGAGAAGGCGGAGGUCAGGCCCCACCAGAGAGCUCAUCAUGCCUCCUCAGAAGACAACAACCGUCUGAAGUCAGCCGUCCCUGAGAGCCACAUUACCACCAUCCCAGAGCUCACAGAGUCAAUUGAGAGGAGUCUAUGCCUCCGUGAUCAAAAGACCACGUCUCUGAGUGAUGAAAACAAGUUGUGCCUGAUCUGUCAAGAGGACAUGUGUAAGAGUGGAGGGGGAACUCAAGAGGUACACUGUACACACCGUUUCCACAAAGAGGUAAGACAUCUUUUGCACUGCACGUCUCCCCUGCACAGUGUUUACACUACCCUGGCCCUGUCGUUGCAAAGAAGUCUUAUUCAGUCCAAUCCCAGCAUGUCAUUUAUCAGAUCUCUGGUCCAUGAAGGCACCUCAUUCCUGGAGAUGCAUGAUGUGAAGUGGUAUGAAAACAGUCUGCUUAGACCUAAAAUCUAUCUCUUUGGAAGCAUGGCACACAAUAACAAUUACUGAUCCCUGGACUGGACACUUACUGAUAGUGAUGUCUCCAUAUGGUGGGUGCAGAAGACAGCUCGGAAGUUAGAGCAGUGUCGACCUCGCAGCAGCAGUGAAGCAGCAGCUUGCCGGGUGAUGAGGCUCUUGGAUGAGAGGAGGAGGUCAGCAGAUGAACCGGUCUCCAAAGAGAAAGAGAAAGAGAAGCACACACCCCGACGGCAACUGUCCCUGCGGAGACAUCGCUGAUGUCAUUCUGUGGAAGGAGAUUCAGUCCAUGUCGAUGAAAAAGCAAAUUGUUGUGGACAGUGAGAUCAGCGGUGGAAUGGUGGUGCAGUGAUUAGCGUGCUGUCACCUCACAACAAGAAGGUUCUGGGUUCAAGUCCUGGCCGACCCGA
RNA transcript from Monopterus albus (swamp eel), 1390 nucleotides. It is a transcript of the gene named leukemia NUP98 fusion partner 1, with no coding region annotated. The record is from RefSeq and is a predicted model, not a curated record. The transcript is spliced from 5 exons. Lineage: Eukaryota; Metazoa; Chordata; Actinopteri; Synbranchiformes; Synbranchidae.